CGUAGGAAAGGUUUUCAUCUUUAGCUCACAAUCUGUGAAUAAUAUACGAUUAGAAAGGUUAAAAAAUGAUUUUAAACAUCACAGCACAAUUGAAAAAUAUAUGGGACAUGGAAACCAAACGAGGGUGGUCUAUCGUGAUAGAUGGGAUGGGCUGAGGGGCGGGAAUAAAGAGCUGAGGUCUAUGGUGAUAGGUGGGAUGGGCUGAGAGUGGCUGAGGGGGUGGGAUUAAAGAGCUGAGGUCUAUGGUGAUAGAUGGAAUGGGCUGAGAGUGGCUGACGGGCGGGAUUAAAGAGCUGAGGUCUAUGGUGAUAGGUGGGAUGGGCUGAGAGUGGCUGAGGGGGUGGGAUUAAAGAGCUGAGGUCUAUGGUGAUAGGUGGGAUGGGCUGAGAGUGGCUGAGGGGUGGGAUUAAAGAGCUGACGUCUAUGGUGAUAGGUGGGAUGGGCUGAGAGUGGCUGAGGGGCGGGAUUAAAGAGCUGACGUCUAUGGUGAUAGGUGGGAUGGAAUGAGAGUGGCUGAGGGGCGGGAUUAAAGAGCUGAGGUCUAUGGUGAUAGGUGGGAUGGGCUGAGAGUGGCUGAGGGGGUGGGAUUAAAGAGCUGAGGUCUAUGGUGAUAGGUGGGAUGGGCUGAGAGUGGCUGAGGGGGUGGGAUUAAAGAUCUGAGGUCUAUGGUGCUAGGUGGGAUGGGCUGAGAGUGGCUGAGGGGCGGGAUUAAAGAGCUGAGGUCUAUGGUGAUAGGUG
Oncorhynchus tshawytscha (Chinook salmon) is the source of this 738-nucleotide long non-coding RNA. The record is from Ensembl. NCBI's taxonomy places the organism in Eukaryota, Metazoa, Chordata, Actinopteri, Salmoniformes, Salmonidae.